UGAGGAAUAUUGGUCAAUGGACGGAAGUCUGAACCAGCCAUGCCGCGUGAAGGAUGAAGGCGUUCUGCGUUGUAAACUUCUUUUAUCUGGGAAGAAACCACAGCAUUCUAUUUCUGUUGACGGUACCAGAUGAAUAAGCACCGGCUAACUCCGUGCCAGCAGCAGCGGUAAUACGGAGGGUGCAAGCGUUAUCCGGAUUUCUUGGGUUUCAAGGGUGCGUAGGCGGCCUGUUAAGUCAGUGGUGAAAGUCGGCAGCUCAACUGUCGAAUUGCCUUUGAUACUGGCAGGCUUGAAUGAAGUUGAAGAGUGCGGAAUGUGACAUGUAGCGGUUAAAUGCAUAGAUAUGUCACAGAACACCGAUUGCGAAGGCAGCUCUCUAAGCGUGAAUUGACGCUGAUGCACGAAAGCGUG
This 411-nucleotide ribosomal RNA is filed under the name uncultured bacterium. Its description in RNAcentral is "bacterial SSU rRNA". It matches the Rfam family "Bacterial small subunit ribosomal RNA", at positions 355 to 763 of the family's 1533-position model. The record is from RNAcentral.